ACGAACGCUGGCGGCGUGCUUAACACAUGCAAGUCGAACGGAAAGGCCCUGCUUUUGUGGGGUGCUCGAGUGGCGAACGGGUGAGUAACACGUGAGUAACCUGCCCUUGACUUUGGGAUAACUUCAGGAAACUGGGGCUAAUACCGGAUAGGAGCUCCUGCUGCAUGGUGGGGGUUGGAAAGUUUCGGCGGUUGGGGAUGGACUCGCGGCUUAUCAGCUUGUUGGUGGGGUAGUGGCUUACCAAGGCUUUGACGGGUAGCCGGCCUGAGAGGGUGACCGGCCACAUUGGGACUGAGAUACGGCCCAGACUCCUACGGGAGGCAGCAGUGGGGAAUAUUGCACAAUGGGCGGAAGCCUGAUGCAGCAACGCCGCGCGUGGGAUGACGGCCUUCGGGUUGUAAACCGCUUUCGCCUGUGACGAAGCGUGAGUGACGGUAAUGGGUAAAGAAGCACCGGCUAACUACGUG
RNAcentral lists this ribosomal RNA (467 nucleotides) under uncultured bacterium. RNAcentral describes it as "partial 16S ribosomal RNA". It matches the Rfam family "Bacterial small subunit ribosomal RNA", at positions 29 to 507 of the family's 1533-position model. The record is from RNAcentral.